GAUCCUGGCUCAGAUUGAACGCUGGCGGCAUGCUUUACACAUGCAAGUCGAACGGUAACAGGCCGCAAGGUGCUGACGAGUGGCGAACGGGUGAGUAAUACAUCGGAACGUACCCAGUAGUGGGGGAUAACGUAGCGAAAGCUACGCUAAUACCGCAUACGCACUGAGGUGGAAANCGGGGAUCGCAAGACCUCGCGCUAUUGGAGCGGCCGAUGGCAGAUUAGCUAGUUGGUGGGGUAAAGGCCCUACCAAGGCGACGAUCUGUAGCUGGUCUGAGAGGACGACCAGCCACACUGGGACUGAGACACGGCCCAGACUCCUACGGGAGGCAGCAGUGGGGAAUUUUGGACAAUGGGGGCAACCCUGAUCCAGCAAUGCCGCGUGUGCGAAGAAGGCCUUCGGGUUGUAAAGCACUUUUGGCAGGAGCGAAACGGCUUGGGUUAAUACCCUGGGCUAAUGACGGUACCUGCAGAAUAAGCACCGGCUAACUACGUG
This 495-nucleotide ribosomal RNA is filed under the name uncultured bacterium. Its description in RNAcentral is "bacterial SSU rRNA". It matches the Rfam family "Bacterial small subunit ribosomal RNA", at positions 15 to 507 of the family's 1533-position model. The record is from RNAcentral.